This 497-nucleotide ribosomal RNA is filed under the name uncultured bacterium. RNAcentral describes it as "partial 16S ribosomal RNA". It matches the Rfam family "Bacterial small subunit ribosomal RNA", at positions 28 to 507 of the family's 1533-position model. The record is from RNAcentral.
GACGAACGCUGGCGGCGUGCCUAAUACAUGCAAGUUGAGCGCUGAAGGUUGGUACUUGUACCAACUGGAUGAGCAGCGAACGGGUGAGUAACGCGUGGGGAAUCUGCCUUUGAGCGGGGGACAACAUUUGGAAACGAAUGCUAAUACCGCAUAAAAACUUUAAACACAAGUUUUAAGUUUGAAAGAUGCAAUUGCAUCACUCAAAGAUGAUCCCGCGUUGUAUUAGCUAGUUGGUGAGGUAAAGGCUCACCAAGGCGAUGAUACAUAGCCGACCUGAGAGGGUGAUCGGCCACAUUGGGACUGAAGCACGGCCCAAACUCCUACGGGGGGCAGCAGUAGGGAAUCUUCGGCAAUGGGCGGAAGUCUGACCGAGCAACGCCGCGUGAGUGAAGAAGGUUUUCGGAUCGUAAAACUCUGUUGGUAGAGAAGAACGUUGGUGAGAGUGGAAAGCUCAUCAAGUGACGGUAACUACCCAGAAAGGGACGGCUAACUACGUG